This 253-nucleotide ribosomal RNA is filed under the name uncultured bacterium. Its description in RNAcentral is "partial 16S ribosomal RNA". It matches the Rfam family "Bacterial small subunit ribosomal RNA", at positions 524 to 776 of the family's 1533-position model. The record is from RNAcentral.
UACGUAGGUGGCAAGCGUUGUCCGGAUUUACUGGGCGUAAAGGGCGCGUAGGCGGCCUUCUAAGUCAGACGUGAAAUCCCCAGGCUUAACUUGGGAACUGCGUCUGAUACUGGGAGGCUUGAGUGCGGGAGAGGGAUGUGGAAUUCCAGGUGUAGCGGUGAAAUGCGUAGAUAUCUGGAGGAACACCGGUGGCGAAGGCGGCAUCCUGGACCGACACUGACGCUGAGGCGCGAAAGCCAGGGGAGCAAACGGG